CUUCUGCCAAACCCAAUUUUU
This 21-nucleotide ribosomal RNA is filed under the name Sclerotinia sclerotiorum. RNAcentral's name for it is "partial 28S ribosomal RNA". The record is from RNAcentral. Lineage: Eukaryota; Fungi; Ascomycota; Leotiomycetes; Helotiales; Sclerotiniaceae.